RNAcentral lists this ribosomal RNA (254 nucleotides) under uncultured bacterium. RNAcentral's name for it is "partial 16S ribosomal RNA". It matches the Rfam family "Bacterial small subunit ribosomal RNA", at positions 334 to 580 of the family's 1533-position model. The record is from RNAcentral.
UGUGCCUACGGGGAGCAGCAGUAGGGAAUCUUCCACAAUGGGCGCAAGCCUGAUGGAGCAACACCGCGUGAGUGAAGAAGGGUUUCGGCUCGUAAAGCUCUGUUGUUGGAGAAGAACGUGCGUGAGAGUAACUGUUCACGCAGUGACGGUAUCCAACCAGAAAGUCACGGCUAACUACGUGCCAGCAGCCGCGGUAAUACGUAGGGGGCAAGCGUUAUCCGGAAUUACUGGGUGGAAAGGGGGAGUAGGCGGCA